GGGAAUAUUGCACAAUGGGCGCAAGCCUGAUGCAGCCAUGCCGCGUGUAUGAAGAAGGCCUUCGGGUUGUAAAGUACUUUCAGCGGGGAGGAAGGGAGUAAAGUUAAUACCUUUGCUCAUUGACGUUACCCGCAGAAGAAGCACCGGCUAACUCCGUGCCAGCAGCCGCGGUAAUACAGAGGGGGCAAGCGUUGUUCGGAAUUACUGGGCGUAAAGGGCGCGUAGGCGGCCUGCUAAGUCGAACGUGAAAUCCCUGGGCUCAACCCAGGAACUGCGUCCGAUACUGGUUGGCUUGAAUCCGGGAGAGGGAUGUGGAAUUCCAGGUGUAGCGGUGAAAUGCGUAGAUAUCUGGAGGAACACCGGUGGCGAAGGCGACAUCCUGGACCGGUAUUGACGCUGAGGCGCGAAAGCCAGGGGAGCAAAC
RNAcentral lists this ribosomal RNA (424 nucleotides) under uncultured bacterium. RNAcentral's name for it is "bacterial SSU rRNA". It matches the Rfam family "Bacterial small subunit ribosomal RNA", at positions 357 to 773 of the family's 1533-position model. The record is from RNAcentral.